Molecule: long non-coding RNA, 1640 nt
Filed under: Hordeum vulgare
Lineage: Eukaryota; Viridiplantae; Streptophyta; Magnoliopsida; Poales; Poaceae
Description: long non-coding RNA (HVUL_LNC019375)
Source: RNAcentral
UCGUAGAGCUCAUUAUCUUCAAACAAUGCCCUGUUAUAAAACUCGCAAAUCGGAUGCCCCUCAAAGCCGCUACCUUGAGCCACAGAGCCAUCCACCUCAGAGUCACCCAGUUGCGUGUAUCGAGCCAACUGGUCGUGUGUGUAGAACUUUGACUUGACAGAUGAACACCUUUCUCCCCUUUAAGCAGAGGCUAUACACGUAUAGGCUAUAGCCCAUGGCGAUGGGAUAAAUGUCCCCAUAGCAGGCCAUGGCGCUGGGCGGCACGAGCACGCUGGGCCGGCUGGAGCGGCGAACUGACAGGCGGCCAGGCCGGAGUGGCAGGGGGCAGCGGCCGGCUGCAGGGGCGAGGCGCACGGGCGGCUGAGGGAGAGAUACCGGUCCCCAGCCAGACCGGCGCGCGGAGCUGGCAAGGGAGGGGCGACUCGAGACGAUGCGCGCGUCGCGUGGUCAUGCGGCCGCGGAGGGGAACCAGCGCGCACGGGAAACGGCAGGCUCGGGCGGGACUGGCUCGCAGCAAGACGAGGAGGAAACGGCACACGCGCAAGCACGCGUGAGGGCGGCUGGAGCGGCACGGACACGGCCAGGGCGAGGCCGAGCCGUCAAGGGCGCGAUGCAAAGGCCGUGCGCGCGGACGUGACACUGACGGGCGGGCGGCCAGGGCGGGGCAGAGCAAACUCUGGCCUGCGGUGGCAGGCGCAACGAGGUGAGCUGCAGAUGCAGUGGGGAGGAGGCGAGGCCGCGGGCGCGCGACUAUGCACGUAGAGCUUCACGAGUGCACGGGACGGAGCUGGUGCGGCGUAACGGGCGCGAUGAGGCAGAGGUGGCCGUGGUGCGGCGCAGCGGGCGGAGGCGAAUCCCAUGGCCGGUCGGCAUGCCGACUCGAAGUGGCGGGAGCGGGGCGACCACGGCGAGCCGGCUCGGGGUGGCAAGGUGGAGGCGUGCUAGCCUGGCGGGGCGCGUGUCAGCAAGGGAGAAACAGACGAUGAGUCCGGGUGCUCACGAGACUCAGCGGCAGAGGUGAGGUGAAGACGGUGAUGCAGGGUGAAAAUCGAGUCAGCAGCGAUGUCUAUCUUCAAAAAAUCGUGGACUCCUUUUUUACAAUUCCGAUUUAGGAAUCUGCUUCCUGCCUCCAAUCCGAACACAUCAUCUGAACGGAUGCGAGCAACAACUAAGUUUGGGGUCGGAUCGAUCUUUUGAUUCCACCUGUGCAACCUGAGGUUGAGAAUUUUUCCAUCUCAAUUGAUGAUCUCCGAGUUAAUGUAGUUCUUCGAGCGGCUUUGUGGAUCCAGCGAGUCGUAAGAUUCUCGAUCCUUUCAUCGCGUAUCCUAUGGUGGUCGUCAAAUGUCGUAGUUUUAUCACGACAUGUGUCUUUGUAAGAGAACUUAGGUGUGAGGCUAUUGCAAAUAUGUAGGGGUUUGAGAGGGGUUGGUAGGAAUUGAGAGACGCCUUCCUUUUCGUGGGCCUUCUGUGUGAGCCGUCCCUCCCAUGAGCCGCCUUCUAGGCCGUUGGGUCUUAUAAUUUGUAGUUUGUCUAACUCGCCUGCCGGGUCAUAUACGAGCCGUCUGUCGUGUCACUAAUGAGUCAUCAAACUCGGUCGGGUCACUAGUGAAUCGCCUAGCCCCAGUCGGGUUAUAUUUAAG